UUUCCAUUCUCUGUAUGGUCUUAGAGUCUUCCCGAUGGCUGGUUUCUAAGAAUUCCAGUACUCUUUUACUUGUUGCAAACGUGUCCCUCUGACUCUCUGUAAACUGCAGUUUUGUUGUCUUCUCCCGAGCAGGAUAGCUUGGAGGAGCCUGGCCUCCUGGUGUGGCUGCUGGGGGGUCAUCCCCUUCUUUGAGAUUCCUCUUCCCGAGGUGGAAGCAUGGAACCCAGGUCAUGGGUGGCAUGGACUAAGAGCUGACUGAGGACCUUGCUGAAUACAUCCUACAAAAAGAAGCAUCAUGUCAUUGACUUGGAGGAAGGACUGUCACUGUGGAGAUUGAAUUACCUAUGUUUCCAGGAAAUCAGUCCCUUUGGAGCCAUUGGGGAUAUUGACAAUAGGAAUUUCUGUGGGCUGAAGACGCAGAUUAAAUCAAGCUACUUCAGGAAUCUAGGUAUCCACUGCAGGGAUCUAUUUAACUAUGAGGUUGGGUAGCCAAGAGAAGCUUGAGAAUAUCCAUUGAAUUGAACUGAGACAGUGAUGUCUGCCCAUGUCUGCACCCAGCCUCCUGCAGAGGAAGAAGCAGCAUCCACACCAAGAGAAGUAACUCUUUAUCUUCCACCCGGCCCUUGCUGUUCCUGGUGUGUGCCUGCCCACCCACCUUCCCAGGACUUCAACAGGUAGGUGAAUGGAUGAAAGCAAGGACUAGAAUGAAGGCGUAGCUCAUGGCUUAAAGCUAGUUCAAGUGGGAAUCCUGUUAAUUAUUCGGUCUUAUCAAUGCAAGGGGCCCUUUAUCCAUUUACUGGCUUGUUAUUAUAUCAGCAAACUCCAAAGAGAAGAAUCAAGAGGAAGGUAGCAGAUGCACACAGAGUUUAAGACUUACACCCUCCUGUACUCUCUGCUCCUAUUCAAGACAGAGCACAGCAGCCUUGCAUGUCCUGGUGCACAUCAUCCAAGGCCUAAGUGGAUGAAAAAUUAUUACCCCCACUAGCCAAGGACCAUUCAUCUAACUAACUCCUAAUUAAGUGAACAAUCAUCACACAAGGCAAUUUUUCAACUUGAAGCCAGUCGAUGCUACUGUUCAUGCCACAGCCAGACACCAUGGCUGUUGUCACCCCCAGCAACAUCUCCAGGAUGAAGUCAGCUGCCCAGUCUUGCUGGUUAAUCUACUAUGGCUAGAAAGUGUUAUUACACAGUUUCCAUUGAGCCUGCCUAACGUGCUGGGAGGAGUUGGAGAGAGACUUCUUCCUCAGAGCAGGAAAAGGUUUUGGGUAAAUGAAGUGAACUGUGUCACCACUUGAAACAACUCAUUCAAACAUAGCUACUGAGAGUUGGGAAUCUAGAUUAUAAGAAACUUCCAACUGGGACUGGUUGAUUCAAGAAAACUCUUUAACAGUUGGAAAAGUUUUCUGGUGUUAACUUCAGAAUUUCAAGAGGGUGAUUGCCUAAGAAAUAUUUGAUGCCAUGAUCUGAAGCUACUGCAAAGUGUUAUGAAAAUGGAGAUUUAAUUAUAUGCUCAGCUAUACCCUUGCAAGUGCAUGUACUGGACAGUUCUGCUCACAGUGAGUAAAGACUCAUGAGUAUAAUAAGUGUUACUUCAGGUAAAGUCAUUUGCUGCAGUAUCAUAUUGUAAACUCAUCUAAUUUACCUACUGCUUUUCCAAGGACAAAAAUUAAACUGCAACCAUGGUAGUAUUAGUUGGCAGUCCCACAGCAGUACAAUAAUUAAAGCCAACAUAAGUAUACUCCAAACAAAUUCAGUUCCCCUAAAUAAGCACCAUUAUAUAGGCAUUUUGGAUUGGUCACUUUUUCUGGGCUUGGGCUAAAGAAUCUGAAAUACCUAUAUGAACUUGGCUCUAGGUACAGAAGAGAUAAAAGCCUGAUUAUCUUGUGAGGCAGGGUUAACAUUUAUCUUAACCUAUUAUCACCCCAGAGCAUAUCCACUCAUAUCUUCUUCUUUGGAACAGUGGGACCAAUUCAGAUAUUUCUUGGGCAAACUCCAGUGCCUCCCCAGCACAGUUCUGGUCCCUGCUCAUCUGCCUCCACUUUGUCCCACAAGGGACCACAAGUCUUCCUUGGCUGGGGAGUCUCACAAGUCUCUCCACACAACAUGAGCUGGUGCCACCAGGAAUCAAGUUCUUAGCUGACUCCCCUGUGCUCCACCACAUAGGAGCAGGCUCCACAAAGGUUUAAGAUGGGACCACUGCUUAAAAGUUGUUGGGCCAUGACCCUCAAUCACCUCUGCUACCUAUAGAACUUUGAGCAAGUGCAAAAACCUAGGAGGAGAUGGCAUCCCCCCCGCCAACACCCUCAACAGGCACCGCUGCUUAAGAUUCGAAUUUACACCAACCACAGCAAUCCAGGCAAAAUUCUUUUCCUAAGUCAACACAAUUGGUCUUGACUAAUAUUAUGCUACCUGUCUCUAUACAUGUGGAUUUCCCAUUGAGAUCAUGGAUUGCCACUGAUUCAUGCAUGUUGGAAGACAUAACAUUAGAGCUGAGAACAUCCACCAUGCAGAACUUAGAGGAGAAUUUUGCCAUUGGUUUACAAAAGUGAAUUCACAUUUUUAUGCUGUCUGUACAUCCAGCUCAUCCUCUUUGAGGGCUCUAGAGUUCCAGUGGCAUUUCUUUCUGUUUACAAAUGUUUCUGAAAUGCAAACAAAUGACAGAGCACAACAGACACAUUCCAUGAUAUGUAUAAGGCACUGUGGUCUGUAAGACAGAGCAGAGUGUUGGAGACAGGAACUCCUGAGUUCUAGUUUCUGUUCUAUAGCUGGGCUUGUGUGACUUUGAGCAAGAUUUUGAAAAUCUCCGAGUUUUUCCUCCAAAUGUAAAAUGAGGAUAAUACAAUUAAACUCCCAGGGGUUCUAUGACUGUUGACAUUAAAGAAAUGGUACCACCUUAUACCAGCAGAUAGUCUGGCCUGAUGACUGUACAGCACUUUGAGCAUGUAAAGUU
Long non-coding RNA from Dermochelys coriacea (leatherback sea turtle), 2950 nucleotides. RefSeq lists it as uncharacterized. The transcript is spliced from 7 exons. NCBI's taxonomy places the organism in Eukaryota, Metazoa, Chordata, Testudines, Dermochelyidae. The record is from RefSeq and is a predicted model, not a curated record.